RNAcentral lists this non-coding RNA (79 nucleotides) under Proteus terrae subsp. cibarius. Its description in RNAcentral is "TPP riboswitch (THI element)". It matches the Rfam family "TPP riboswitch aptamer (THI element)", at positions 9 to 90 of the family's 105-position model. From Rfam's summary of the family: Vitamin B(1) in its active form thiamin pyrophosphate (TPP) is an essential coenzyme that is synthesised by coupling of pyrimidine and thiazole moieties in bacteria. The previously detected thiamin-regulatory element, thi box was extended, resulting in a new, highly conserved RNA secondary structure, the THI element, which is widely distributed in eubacteria and also occurs in some archaea. Lineage: Bacteria; Pseudomonadati; Pseudomonadota; Gammaproteobacteria; Enterobacterales; Morganellaceae. The record is from RNAcentral.
CAACGGGGUGCCUUUCUAUUUCUAGGCUGAGAAAAACUCGUGGAACCUGAUCCAGCUAAUACUGGCGUAGGGAUUUGAG